UACGUAGGGUGCAAGCAUUAAUCGGAAUUAUUGGGCGUAAAGGGCGCGUAGGCUGUUGCGUAAGUCAGAUGUGAAAUUCCGGGGCUCAACCUCGGAGCUGCAUUUGAAACUACGUAACUAGAGGGUUGACGGAGAAAACGGAAUUCCACGUGUAGCGGUGAAAUGCGUAGAUAUGUGGAAGAACACCAGUGGCGAAAGCGGUUUUCUAGUUAAUUCCUGACGCUGAGGCGCGAGAGCAAGGGGAGCAAACAGG
This 253-nucleotide ribosomal RNA is filed under the name uncultured prokaryote. Its description in RNAcentral is "partial 16S ribosomal RNA". It matches the Rfam family "Bacterial small subunit ribosomal RNA", at positions 524 to 776 of the family's 1533-position model. The record is from RNAcentral.